RNAcentral lists this long non-coding RNA (256 nucleotides) under Lathyrus oleraceus (garden pea). RNAcentral's name for it is "Pisum sativum (pea) long non-coding RNA (PSAT_LNC035049)". Lineage: Eukaryota; Viridiplantae; Streptophyta; Magnoliopsida; Fabales; Fabaceae. The record is from RNAcentral.
CCACUGAGAGUUGGGAGCAAUAGUUACUCACCUUUUGCUUUUGUUUGCAGUCACAAAGAUUUGCUUUUACUGAGGAUUUUGAUACCAAUCCUCCGAUUCUUUUGUUUUGUUUACCCCCAUUUUUGCCUGGGCUGAUCCUUUGGGUUUGCAGCCCACCGAGAUGCCCCAAUUUUUGCCUAAUUCAAUCUUGUUUUCAAGCUUUUAACCUAAUGGGCUUUUCAUUUUCUUUUGAUUUUUUUAUUUCUCAUUUUUUUUU